GAUGAACGCUGGCGGCGUGCCUAAUACAUGCAAGUCGAGCGAACGGACGAGAAGCUUGCUUCUCUGAUGUUAGCGGCGGACGGGUGAGUAACACGUGGAUAACCUACCUAUAAGACUGGGAUAACUUCGGGAAACCGGAGCUAAUACCGGAUAAUAUUUUGAACCGCAUGGUUCAAAAGUGAAAGACGGUCUUGCUGUCACUUAUAGAUGGAUCCGCGCUGCAUUAGCUAGUUGGUAAGGUAACGGCUUACCAAGGCAACGAUGCAUAGCCGACCUGAAAGGGUGAUCGGCCACACUGGAACUGAGACACGGUCCAGACUCCUACGGUAGGCAGCAGUAGGGAAUCUUCCGCAAUGGGCGAAAGCCUGACGGAGCAACGCCGCGUGAGUGAUGAAGGUCUUCGGAUCGUAAAACUCUGUGAUUAGGGACGAACAUAUGUGUAAGUAACUGUGCACAUCUUGACGGUACCUAAUCAGAAAGCCACGGCUAACUACGUG
This 497-nucleotide ribosomal RNA is filed under the name uncultured bacterium. Its description in RNAcentral is "partial 16S ribosomal RNA". It matches the Rfam family "Bacterial small subunit ribosomal RNA", at positions 28 to 507 of the family's 1533-position model. The record is from RNAcentral.